This 606-nucleotide ribosomal RNA is filed under the name Triticum aestivum (bread wheat). RNAcentral's name for it is "partial small subunit ribosomal RNA". The record is from RNAcentral. Lineage: Eukaryota; Viridiplantae; Streptophyta; Magnoliopsida; Poales; Poaceae.
AUGCCUUGGCUGCUCCCUAUGUUGAGCGCGUGGAUUCAACGCUGGGUAUAUGAUUGUGAUAUAAUAUUGCGCGGAAGAAAAGCCACUGUUGCUCUUACAGUUUUAGGAGCUUUGGGCGGAGGAGUUGAGUGCAGCUUUUAUAUCUUUUUUCAAAGUCCUAAAUGGUUGGACAAGACAAAGUUUCAUGUCAUUGGGGCAAUCUUAUUUACGGCCCAGCAAGGUGUUCUGCAUCCAACAGCUGUUGUGAAGACUAGAAUGCAGAGGAUUUGGCACCAGUGCAGUUGGAGCUCUGCUCACCGUCUACUGGGUGAACCGGGGCCCUGCCACUUCCGCCACAAGGACUGGGCUAGGGUCGAGGAGGACAGCAGGAGGGCGCUCUUGCUCGACGACACCUCCAUCAAGGGACACUAUUUGCUAGGAUGCGCGCUGCUCUUGGAGGGGGACUGCGCUCUCACCGUCAAGGAAUUCGACAAGGUGUUUGAUCACUUGAAGUCCUCAAAUUCAAGGGACAAAUGUCAGAGGACAUUUGACAGUUUCUUGCCAAAGCGAAGUACCAAGACUGGGAAAAGCACUCUACUCAGCGAGUUUGGAAGAUGCAAAGUUUAA